UGAGUAACCUGCCCUUCACUCUGGGAUAACUCCGGGAAACCGGGCUAAUACUGGAUUAUGACUCGGAACAGGCAUCUGUUUCGGGUGGAAAGAUUUAUUGGUGGAGGAUGGACUCGCGGCCUAUCAGCUUGUUGGUGAGGUAAUGGCUCACCAAGGCAACGAUGCGUAGCCGACCUGAGAGGGUNAUCGGCCACAUUGGAACUGAGACACGGUCCAGACUCCGUACGGGAGCA
This 233-nucleotide ribosomal RNA is filed under the name uncultured bacterium. RNAcentral describes it as "partial 16S ribosomal RNA". It matches the Rfam family "Bacterial small subunit ribosomal RNA", at positions 118 to 347 of the family's 1533-position model. The record is from RNAcentral.